RNAcentral lists this long non-coding RNA (3461 nucleotides) under Homo sapiens (human). RNAcentral describes it as "non-protein coding lnc-EYA3-3:1". The record is from RNAcentral. Lineage: Eukaryota; Metazoa; Chordata; Mammalia; Primates; Hominidae.
GUCACACCCAGCUAGCUACCAUGGCAGCGGUGACCAUGAACUAUGAUCUGGAUCUGGGCAGCCAUAUACCCUGCUAUAUCUUGGGGUGAAAAUUAUUUUAUUACUAGAAGAAAGGGGGAAGUAAUGGAUAAUGGAGACAGUUAGCAAUCUUUUCACACUUUCUAACUCUGAGCCUUGUAUCCAAGUGUUGAAAGUUCAAAUGCCUUCACAGGGGCUAGGCAGGUGAUUAACUGAGUAAAGCAAUCUAAAAGGAGUGAGGUGACUGUGACAAAGUAGGAUGCACUGUGUCCUGUCUAAAGGGGGUAACAGUUACUUGAUCCCUUCCCCUUCUUCAUUAACAGAAUUCCAAGCUUGUUUGAGUGCCCAGCCUUGGAGCACAAAUCAUAAUUUUCUAUUAUCAAUCAUGAAAUUCUGUUUCUAGUGUCUUCAGCCUCCCCUGUGUCUGGGAAUCUCCAUAUGACUCAGCCAAUGGGAGAGUUAAGGAAGUCUGGCGGGGGACUUCUAGGAAAGCUUUUGUUUUCCUAGUAAAGAGUCAGCCAUGACUGGAGCUUUCCCAUACCAGUUCUUCCUGAUUUGAAUGUGGGUGAGAUGCCUGGAGCUGGGGCAGCCAUCAUAUGACCUGGGGUGGCAAGCAAGAGGGGAAAACCAAAAGAACUGUGGUGAUACUGAGCUAGAAAGAACUAGGGCCAGAACCUGCCUGACUCCAGACAUCUUGUCAUGUGAAUAACACAAAAAACCAAAACACCUAUUUGUUUAAUGAAACUUAAAAUUGGCUUAUCUGAACUUCAUGGCCGUUCAAAACUGAUCUAAUCCUUCCAGAUUUAUUUUUCAAGUUUCAAUUAUUUAUUAAUCAGGGUAAUCUCCAACACAUUACAUCAACAUGAUUUCAUGUAUUUAGAGGACAAAUAUUUCCUGAUUAAAUGGAAAAUUGUGCGGAUGGCUUCAGAAAGACCUUCAUUCGAAAGCAGCUUUAAUAGUGAAACACUUCAUUUACAAAUCUGGACCUUCUUUCUUCAGUUUGCUAUAAUCCACAUUCACUGAGUAAAACUUGGAUGGAUUGUUGGGACCCAGUUUGUUACAGGGCUCUGGGUUAUUCUUUCUUUCCUUUUUAUUUAUUUUUUUUUUUGAGACUGAGUCUCGCUUCGUCGCCCAGGCGGGAGCACAGUGUCACGAUCUAAGCUCACUGCAACCUCUGCCUCCAAAGUUCAAUCAGUUCUCUUGCCUCAGCCUCCCGAGUAGCUGGGAUUACAGGCACAUGCCACCACAUCCAGCUAAUUUGUUGUAUUUUUAGUAGAGACAGCGUUUCACCAUGUUGGCCAGGCUGGUCUUGAACUCCUGGCCUCAAGUGAUCUGCUCACCUUGGCCUCUCAAAAAGCUGGGAUUAUAGACAUGAGCCACCACACCAGGCCUCUGGGUAAUUCUUUCUGUCCUAACAUCCGGAUUGAACAAUGCCAGACUUAAGACAUACAAUGCUUUUCUAAUACCUCUAAAUCCAAUAAAUACAAAGAAGGGAUCAAGCUCAGAUGCUUCUUGGCCUGACUGAGGAUCUGCUGGAGCUUGUCUGCAGCAGAGGUCUCCCAUUCGAAAGGAGAGAACCAGCCUAGCUAUCAGGCCCUGGACUAAGUAGUAUCUGCCCCAGAUAUUUUAACAUGUAUAUUCACUUUGUAUAAAGAUGAAAUGCAUACGCUGCUUUGUAACUUAAAAAAGAAGUACUGGCCAGGUGUGGUGGCUCACGCCUGUAAUCCCAGCAGCUUGGGAGGCCGAGGCAGGCAGAUCACAAUGUCAGGAGUUCAAGACUAGCCUGGCCAAGAGACCAGCCUGGCCAAUAUGGUGAAACCCCAUCUCUACUAAAAAUAUAAAAAUUAGCCGGGCGUGGUGGUGUGCACCUAUAAUUCCAGCUACUCGGGAGGCUGAGGCAGGAGAAUUGCUUUAACCUGGGAGGCGGAGAUUGCAGUGAGCUGAGAUCACACCAUUGCACUCCAGCCUGGGCGACAGAGCAAGACAAGGCAUUUUUCAUUUUGAUGACUGCAGAAUAUCCACUGUAUGUGUAUAGCUUAGCAGCUAAUCAAUCCUUUAUCAUUGGACAUUCAGUUAGUUUACAGUUUAGCUGUUUUUAUUUUUGUUUUUGAGAGGGCAGUUUGCUAUUGUAAACAAUGCUGUAACGGACUACCUUUUAACUAAGCCUCUUCUUUUUUUUUUUUUGAGACACAGUCUCACUCUUGCCCAAGCUGGAGUGCAGGCUCGGCUCACUGCAACCUCCUUCUCCUGGGUUCAAGCUAUUCUCGUGCCUCAGCCUCCCAUGUAGCUGGGAUUAUAGGGAUGUGCCAUCAUGCCCAUCUAAUUUUUUUUGCAUUUUUAGUAGAGAUGGGGUUUUGCCAUGUUGACCAGGCUGGUCUCGAACUCCUGACCUCAAGUGAUCCACCUGUUUCGGCCUCCCAAAGUGCUGGGAUUACAGUGAGCCACCGCUCCCAGCCUUAACUAAGUUUCUUAAUAUACUCUUAUAAUUACAUUCUUGAUUAUUUUCUUAACUUUCCAGAAGUGAAAUGGCUGGGUCAGAAGACAAUAAAUAGCAAUCUCUUUUAAGUAAAAUGAUGCACUUGCUUUUGGUUCUGUUUCUGCUACUUUGAGUAAGUAAUCACUCAUUUAUUCAUCAUCCAUUCACUUAACAAGCACAAGAAGCACAGAGUAAAAUGUGGUCCUCGUCUUCAAGGAGCUCAUAAUGGAAUGGCAGAGGCAGGCAGGGCAACAGUUAAUGAGAAGGAGUGACAGUUGUGGUGGCGGCUUUCGACAAGGUUUCCAGUGAUCCCUGCUUCCUGAUAUUCAUGCCCUUGUGUAAUUCCCUACCCAUGAAUAUGGGCUGGACCUAGUGAAUUGCUUCUGAUGAAUGGAAUAUGACAAAAGUGAUAGGAUGUCACUUCUGUGAUUAGGUUACAAAGAACUGUGACUUCCAUCUUGGUAGCUCUCUCUCUCUUUUCCUUGCCCUCUCAUUUGCUUGGUCUGAUGAAGCCAGCUGCCACACUUACUUGAUGGAGAGGCCUAUGUAGCAGGGAACCCAGGGAGGCCUCCCGCUAGCAGCUCUUGAGGAACUGAGGCCUCAGUCCAACAGCCUGUGAGGAACUGAAUUCUGCCAACAAUCAUGUGAGCUAGGAAGCAGAUCUUUUCCAUUGAGCCUUCGCUGACCAAGGACUUAGCCAAGCCAUGCCUGGAUGCCUGAUCCAUUAAAACUGAGAGAAUGAAUUGAUAUAGUCUUAAGCCCCUACAUUUUGGAGAAUUUGUUACAUGGCAGUAGAUGACUAAUACACAAGCAGAGUGGUACAAAUGAGUGUGUGAUAGGUGCAGGCAUGAAGGAGAAGCAUGAAACCGCCAUGGUGGGGAAGGGCCACGUCUGAUAGGAGUUCUGAGUGGAGGGCAGGCUUGCAUUGCAUUUUGCAAGCUAAGAAGGAAUUAGGGGAAGAGAAGAA